ACAGACUGGCUGGGAUGUACACUGGGGAGGUAACAGACUGGCUGGGAUGUACGCUGGGGAGGUAACAGACUGGCUGGGCUGUACACUGGGGAGGUAACAGACUGGCUGGGAUGUACGCUGGGGAGGUAACAGACUGGCUGGGAUGUACACUGGGGAGGUAACAGACUGGCUGGGAUGUACACUGGGGAGGUAACAGACUGGCUGGGAUGUACACUGGGGAGGUAACAGACUGGCUGGGAUGUACACUGGGGAGGUAACAGACUGGCUGGGAUGUACACUGGGGAGGUAACAGACUGGCUGGGAUGUACACUGGGGAGGUAACAGACUGGCUGGGAUGUACACUGGGGAGGUAACAGACUGGCUGGGAUGUACGCUGGGGAGGUAACAGACUGGCUGGGAUGUACACUGGGGAGGUAACAGACUGGCUGGGAUGUACGCUGGGGAGGUAACAGACUGGCUGGGAUGUACACUGGGGAGGUAACAGACUGGCUGGGAUGUACACUGGGGAGGUAACAGACUGGCUGGGAUGUACACUGGGGAGGUAACAGACUGGCUGGGAUGUACACUGGGGAGGUAACAGACUGGCUGGGAUGUACACU
Molecule: long non-coding RNA, 599 nt
Organism: Oncorhynchus tshawytscha (Chinook salmon)
Lineage: Eukaryota; Metazoa; Chordata; Actinopteri; Salmoniformes; Salmonidae
Exons: 3
Source: RefSeq, a predicted model, not a curated record